RNAcentral lists this ribosomal RNA (257 nucleotides) under uncultured bacterium. Its description in RNAcentral is "partial 16S ribosomal RNA". It matches the Rfam family "Bacterial small subunit ribosomal RNA", at positions 524 to 776 of the family's 1533-position model. The record is from RNAcentral.
UACAGAGACCUCAAGCGUUAUCCGGAAUCAUUGGGCGUAAAGCGUACCGAUAGGUGGUCUAAAAAGUCAGAAGUGAAAUCUCAAGGCUCAACUUUGAGACUGUCUUUUGAAACCUUUAGACUAGAGGGGCAAAGAGGAAGCUGGAACGAACGGUGUAGUAGUGAAAUGCGUUGAUAUCGUUCGGAACACCAAUAGCGAAGGCGGGCUUCUGGGUGCCACCUGACACUGCUAGGACGAAAGCGUGGGGAGCGAAUGGG